CACGUAGUUAGCCGGUGCUUAUUCUUCAGGUACCGUCAUCCUCCCGAGGUAUUAGCCCAGAAGAUUUCUUCCCUGACAAAAGCGGUUUACAACCCGAAGGCCUUCUUCCCGCACGCGGUAUGGCUGGAUCAGGCUUGCGCCCAUUGUCCAAAAUUCCCCACUGCUGCCUCCCGUAGGAGUCUGGGCCGUGUCUCAGUCCCAGUGUGGCUGGUCGUCCUCUCAGACCAGCUACAGAUCGCAGGCUUGGUAGGCCUUUACCCCACCAACUACCUAAUCUGCCAUCGGCCGCUCCAAUCGCGCGAGGUCUUGCGAUCCCCCGCUUUCACCCUCAGGUCGUAUGCGGUAUUAGCGUAGCUUUCGCUACGUUAUCCCCCAGACUGGGCACGUUCCGAUGUAUUACUCACCCGUUCGCCACUCUCAAGGGUUGCCCCCUCUACCGUUCGACUUGCAUGUGUAAGGCAUACCGCAGCGUUCAAUCUGAGCCAGGAUCAAACUCU
Molecule: ribosomal RNA, 497 nt
Filed under: uncultured Burkholderiales Genera incertae sedis bacterium
Lineage: Bacteria; Pseudomonadati; Pseudomonadota; Betaproteobacteria; Burkholderiales
Description: partial 16S ribosomal RNA
Source: RNAcentral